CGCCGGGGACGACCCUGGCGGCUCUCCUUUCGCCGGGACGACCCG
Molecule: non-coding RNA, 45 nt
Organism: Aeromonas diversa
Lineage: Bacteria; Pseudomonadati; Pseudomonadota; Gammaproteobacteria; Aeromonadales; Aeromonadaceae
Source: Rfam